RNAcentral lists this ribosomal RNA (492 nucleotides) under uncultured bacterium. RNAcentral's name for it is "partial 16S ribosomal RNA". It matches the Rfam family "Bacterial small subunit ribosomal RNA", at positions 29 to 507 of the family's 1533-position model. The record is from RNAcentral.
AGUGAACGCUGGCGGUAGGCCUAACACAUGCAAGUCGAACGGCAGCACAGUAAUAGCUUGCUCUUACGGGUGGCGAGUGGCGGACGGGUGAGGAAUACAUCGGAAUCUACUUUUUCGUGGGGGAUAACGUAGGGAAACUUACGCUAAUACCGCAUACGACCUACGGGUGAAAGCAGGGGAGCUUCGGACCUUGCGCGAUUGAAUGAGCCGAUGUCGGAUUAGCUAGUUGGCGGGGUAAAGGCCCACCAAGGCGACGAUCCGUAGCUGGUCUGAGAGGAUGAUCAGCCACACUGGAACUGAGACACGGUCCAGACUCCUACGGGAGGCAGCAGUGGGGAAUAUUGGACAAUGGGCGCAAGCCUGAUCCAGCCAUACCGCGUGGGUGAAGAAGGCCUUCGGGUUGUAAAGCCCUUUUGUUGGGAAAGAAAAGCAGCAGGUUAAUACCCCGCUGUUCUGACGGUACCCAAAGAAUAAGCACCGGCUAACUUCGUG